Molecule: small nuclear RNA, 164 nt
Filed under: Dasypus novemcinctus (nine-banded armadillo)
Lineage: Eukaryota; Metazoa; Chordata; Mammalia; Cingulata; Dasypodidae
Description: U1 spliceosomal RNA (ENSDNOG00000035665.1)
Rfam family: U1 spliceosomal RNA
About the family: U1 is a small nuclear RNA (snRNA) component of the spliceosome (involved in pre-mRNA splicing). Its 5' end forms complementary base pairs with the 5' splice junction, thus defining the 5' donor site of an intron.
Source: RNAcentral
AUACUUACCUGGCAGGCGAGAUACCAUGAUCACGAAGGUGAUUUUCCCUGCACGAGGCUUAUCCAUUGCAUUCCGGGUGUGCUGGCCCCUGCUAUUUCCCCAAAUGCGGGACACUCAACUGCAUAAUUUGUGGCAGUGGAGGACUGCGUUUGCGCUCUUCCCUG